UACGUAGGUGGCAAGCGUUAUCCGGAAUUAUUGGGCGUAAAGCGCGCGCAGGCGGUUUCUUAAGUCUGAUGUGAAAGCCCACGGCUCAACCGUGGAGGGUCAUUGGAAACUGGGGAACUUGAGUGCAGAAGAGAAAAGCGGAAUUCCACGUGUAGCGGUGAAAUGCGUAGAGAUCUGGAGGAACACCGGUGGCGAAGGCGGCAUCCUGGACCAACACUGACGCUGAUGAGCGAAAGCCAGGGGAGCAAACGGG
RNAcentral lists this ribosomal RNA (253 nucleotides) under uncultured bacterium. RNAcentral describes it as "partial 16S ribosomal RNA". It matches the Rfam family "Bacterial small subunit ribosomal RNA", at positions 524 to 776 of the family's 1533-position model. The record is from RNAcentral.